UACAGGGUAGGGUGUAGCCUGAAACCAGCGAAACACAGAUGAGACUGUGCAGAGAUGGCCCUGGAGGGGCCGGGGGAGUAGUUACUGCUGUGGAUUCUCAUUAGGUGAGCCCUGCACGUGCAUAUCCAUAUCUGUGCAGUUAUUAUGGGAUGUGUUCUGGGAAAUUCAUCCUUAUUGUACAGGGGGAAAAGAAAUGUGUUUUUACCAGAUUGGUUUUCCAAAGACAUGAUAGACAGCAGAGCCUAAGGAAUGGGAUAUUCUUAUAAUGGACUGCAGACUUCAAAGUGAUUGGCCUAUUGCAAAAGGAAAACAGGAACUACGUUCAUCCACUUGAGCAUACUUCAUAGUGAUGAAAACCUCAAGGCUCGAGAUCCCAUAGAUCAGAGCCGAACCUACUUUUUUGAUAAGCCCUUUAGUGGUGUUAGAGACUAGAUAUGAGAUAGUUUGUAGUGCGUGCUCUCUGAUAUCUAGAAUAGAUUUUUACUGAAUAGUGGUAUAUAUGAUGUUAUAUGUUUCUUAAAGGCCCAAACAUAAUAAAGAAAUUAAGACAAAG
RNAcentral lists this long non-coding RNA (553 nucleotides) under Rattus norvegicus (Norway rat). Its description in RNAcentral is "long non-coding RNA NONRATT005989". The record is from RNAcentral. Lineage: Eukaryota; Metazoa; Chordata; Mammalia; Rodentia; Muridae.